Molecule: ribosomal RNA, 432 nt
Filed under: uncultured bacterium
Lineage: Bacteria
Description: bacterial SSU rRNA
Rfam family: Bacterial small subunit ribosomal RNA
Source: RNAcentral
GACGAACGCUGGCGGCGUGCUUAACACGUGCAAGUCGAACGAGAAUCUACUGAAAGAGUUUUCGGACAAUGGAUGUAGAGGAAAGUGGCGGACGGGUGAGUAACGCGUGAGGAACCUGCCUUGAAGAGGGGGACAACAGUUGGAAACGACUGCUAAUACCGCAUGACGCAUAGAGGUCGCAUGAUCUUUAUGCCAGAGAUUUAUCGCUUCAAGAUGGCCUCGCGUCUGAUUAGCUGGUUGGCGGGGUAACGGCCCACCAAGGCGACGAUCAGUAGCCGGACUGAGAGGUUGAACGGCCACAUUGGGACUGAGAUACGGCCCAGACUCCUACGGGAGGCAGCAGUGGGGAAUAUUGGGCAAUGGGCGCAAGCCUGACCCAGCAACGCCGCGUGAAGGAAGAAGGCUUUCGGGUUGUAAACUUCUUUUAAGAGG